This 484-nucleotide ribosomal RNA is filed under the name uncultured bacterium. RNAcentral describes it as "partial 16S ribosomal RNA". It matches the Rfam family "Bacterial small subunit ribosomal RNA", at positions 30 to 507 of the family's 1533-position model. The record is from RNAcentral.
AUUGAACGCUGGCGGCAGGCCUAACACAUGCAAGUCGAGCGGAUGAAGGGAGCUUGCUCCUGGAUUCAGCGGCGGACGGGUGAGUAAUGCCUAGGAAUCUGCCUGGUAGUGGGGUAUAACGUCCGGAAACGGGCGCUAAUACCGCAUACGUCCUGAGGGAGAAAGUGGGGGAUCUUCGGACCUCACGCUAUCAGAUGUGCCUAGGUCGGAUUAGCUAGUUGGUGGGGUAAAGGCCUACCAAGGCGACGAUCCGUAACUGGUCUGAGAGGAUGAUCAGUCACACUGGAACUGAGACACGGUCCAGACUCCUACGGGAGGCAGCAGUGGGGAAUAUUGGACAAUGGGCGAAAGCCUGAUCCAGCAAUGCCGCGUGUGUGAAGAAGGUCUUCGGAUUGUAAAGCACUUUAAGUUGGGAGGAAGGGCAGUAAGUUAAUACCUUGCUGUUUUGACGUUACCAACAGAAUAAGCACCGGCUAACUUCGUG